GCCGGUAUAGCUCAGCUGGUAGAGCAUCUGAUUUGUAAUCAGGGGGUCGCGGGUUCGAAUCCUGCUGCCGGCA
This 73-nucleotide transfer RNA is filed under the name Roseibium suaedae. RNAcentral's name for it is "Labrenzia sp. YC6927 tRNA". It matches the Rfam family "tRNA". From Rfam's summary of the family: Transfer RNA (tRNA) molecules are approximately 80 nucleotides in length. Their secondary structure includes four short double-helical elements and three loops (D, anti-codon, and T loops). The record is from Rfam by way of RNAcentral. Lineage: Bacteria; Pseudomonadati; Pseudomonadota; Alphaproteobacteria; Hyphomicrobiales; Stappiaceae.